Long non-coding RNA from Mangifera indica (mango), 620 nucleotides. RefSeq lists it as uncharacterized. NCBI's taxonomy places the organism in Eukaryota, Viridiplantae, Streptophyta, Magnoliopsida, Sapindales, Anacardiaceae. The transcript is spliced from 2 exons. The record is from RefSeq and is a predicted model, not a curated record.
GAGUUUCCAAGAAAAGCUAGCAUACGAUUGACCUACGAGUUCUUUGACCACAGAUAAGUUUUGAUUUUUCAAUGUCUUUAUUCAAAGUAAUUUAUAUCUCCCACUUGAAAUAUAAGAUAAGUUUGAAAAAGAAAAUGGAAAAUUUUCAGGUUUGUUGCAGCAAAAUUGAGAACAUGUUCAGCAAAUUUGCUCAUACCUUGUCUGAUAAGCUUACGCUAAGGGAGCUUUGGCACAUGACUGAGUCAGCAGCAAUGCAUUUGAUUCUUGUGGCUGGAUUGCAAGAAAAUUGUAGGAUGCAGAAGGCUAUACGACGUUGCUGUGAUGGAAGCUAUUCGAAUGAGUUCAUAGAGGUGCUGCUAGUAGAUGAGAUAAAAAAUUAUUGAUGAACAAUAUUAUCACUUCAAUCUGUCGCUCUCUCUCUUGUGCAUGAAGUAUUUUAAGUCAGUAAUAUAAAGCUCGGGGCAGUUACAACCACCUAGAUCGUACUCCCCAACUCCCGAAGGCAUGAUUUAUCCAUAUCAGUUGUACAUGAAUGGUUAUACAUCGACCAUGCACGUUUGUUCAAAUAUAUGAUUUUACUUUUUUCUUGAUCAUUCAUGUUAUAUAAACGAUUCCAAACA